This 775-nucleotide ribosomal RNA is filed under the name uncultured Neocallimastigales. RNAcentral describes it as "partial large subunit ribosomal RNA". It matches the Rfam family "Eukaryotic large subunit ribosomal RNA", at positions 22 to 621 of the family's 3401-position model. Lineage: Eukaryota; Fungi; Neocallimastigomycota; Neocallimastigomycetes; Neocallimastigales. The record is from RNAcentral.
AUAUCAGUCAUGCAUAGCAUAUCAAUAAGCGGAGGAAAAGAAACUAACAAGGAUUCCCUUAGUAACGGCGAGUGAAGCGGGAAGAGCUCAAAUUUGAAAUCUUCAAGGUUUUACCUUGACGAAUUGUAGCUUAAAGAAGUGUUUUCUGUUGAAGUUUUGGUAAAAGUUCUUUGGAAUAGGACAUCAUAGGAGGGUGAGAAUCCCGUAUUUGACCAUUACUUUCAGCUUUGUGAUACACUUUCAAAGAGUCGGAUUGUUUGGGAAUGCAGUCCAAAAUGGGUGGUAAAUUUCAUCUAAAGCUAAAUAUUGGCGAGAGACCGAUAGCGAACAAGUACCGUGAGGGAAAGAUGAAAAGAACUUUGAAAAGAGAGUUAAACAGUACGUGAAAUUGUCAAAAGGGAAGCGUUUGACACCAGUGUUGUUUUCUCGAAAAUCAAUUAAAAAGAGUUGGAUUUUGUGUUGUAUUGACUUUAUCAGCUUUCUUCACUCUUUUCCAGCUUUUUUUAAUGCACUUUUCGUUUAACAAGUCAACAUCAGUUUCUUUUGUUGUAAGAAGGUCAUUGGAAGGUGGCUUUCUCUUCGGAGAAAGUGUUUAUAGCCUUUGACUCAUGCAAUCGGAGAGACUGAGGUCUGCAGCGUAGAUCCUUCGGGGUUAGAUACAUUUGUGCUAAGUUAUAGCUUUUCAUAGACAACUUGUUGACUAUGUUUAGUCUUGUAGCUUACUCGCUUAUGCUAUUUUACCUACGCUUAGGAUGUUGAACUCUAUCACACACAG